AGAACGAACGCUGGCGGCAGGCCUAACACAUGCAAGUCGAACGCCCGUAGCAAUACGGGAGCGGCAGACGGGUGAGUAACGCGUGGGAACGUACCUUUCGGUUCGGAAUAACCCGGGGAAACUCGGGCUAAUACCGGAUACGUCCGCAAGGAGAAAGAUUUAUCGCCGAAAGAUCGGCCCGCGUCGGAUUAGCUAGUUGGCGGGGUAAUGGCCCACCAAGGCGACGAUCCGUAGCUGGUCUGAGAGGAUGAUCAGCCACACUGGGACUGAGACACGGCCCAGACUCCUACGGGAGGCAGCAGUGGGGAAUAUUGGACAAUGGGCGAAAGCCUGAUCCGGCCAUGCCGCGUGAGUGAAGAAGGCCUUAGGGUUGUAAAGCUCUUUCAGCGGGGAAGAUAAUGACGGUACCCGCAGGAAGAAGUCCGGACUAACUUCGCGCCAGCAGCCGC
Molecule: ribosomal RNA, 449 nt
Filed under: uncultured soil bacterium
Lineage: Bacteria
Description: bacterial SSU rRNA
Rfam family: Bacterial small subunit ribosomal RNA
Source: RNAcentral